GAUGAACGCUGGCGGCGUGCUUAACACAAGCAAGUCGAACGGAAAGGCUCCUGCUUGCAGGGGUACUCGAGUGGCGAACGGGUGAGUAACACGUGGGUGAUCUGCCCUGCACUUCGGGAUAAGCCUGGGAAACUGGGUCUAAUACCGGAUAGGACCACAUUUUGGAUGGUGUGGUGGAAAGUUUUUCGGUGUGGGAUGAGCUCGCGGCCUAUCAGCUUGUUGGUGGGGUAAUGGCCUACCAAGGCGUCGACGGGUAGCCGGCCUGAGAGGGUGUACGGCCACAUUGGGACUGAGAUACGGCCCAGACUCCUACGGGAGGCAGCAGUGGGGAAUAUUGCACAAUGGGCGCAAGCCUGAUGCAGCGACGCCGCGUGGGGGAUGACGGCCUUCGGGUUGUAAACUCCUUUCGCUAGGGACGAAGCGCAAGUGACGGUACCUGGAGAAGAAGCACCGGCUAACUACGUG
Molecule: ribosomal RNA, 465 nt
Filed under: uncultured bacterium
Lineage: Bacteria
Description: partial 16S ribosomal RNA
Rfam family: Bacterial small subunit ribosomal RNA
Source: RNAcentral